GGGCUCCAAAUGAGAACUAAAUGAAACGCAUAAUCAACAAAACUUUUCAAGAGACCUAUAAUUGACUUUAUGAAGAAAAGCAUGACAUUUGCAACUGUUAGUUCUAUUGGACUCACUAUUAAGCGUUCAUUUCCUAAACCACUGCCCUUCUUUCACUAGAAAUUUGUAUUAUUAAUUUGUUUUUCCACUGUUCCAAUAGUCCUACUAGUCAAAAUGCCAAGAAAUUACUCAUUAGAGAACACCCCAAUCACAGUGAGAUGUCCUACCCUCCCAAAAGAGAGAAAACCGAAUUAGGCAAACAAAUGCCUACAUUGGCAUUAACCAACCUGCAACAAUGAAAUUUAACUAUGACUAAACCAUGGUCCCACUGCACCAUUCACAUGUCCAUUGCCGUGGAUUCCCACACCAUUUGGGAUCAUCAGUGAAGGAGGUAAUCCAACAGCCAUUGGAGGUGGUGCAGCAGGGUACAACCCAUGAUUGUGAGGUACAGCGUGGGGGCUCACAAGAGGACUGGCAGCAG
Molecule: unclassified non-coding RNA, 520 nt
Filed under: Hevea brasiliensis (rubber tree)
Lineage: Eukaryota; Viridiplantae; Streptophyta; Magnoliopsida; Malpighiales; Euphorbiaceae
Source: RNAcentral